UACGAAGGGUGCAAGCGUUAUUCGGAUUUAUUGGGUGUAAAGGGUGCGUAGACGGCAUAUUAAGUCCGCUGUUAAAUUUCCCGGCCUAACCGGGAGCCAGCGGUGGAUACUGAUGUGCUAGAGGAUGGAAGAGAGAAGUGGAAUUCCCGGAGUAGCGGUAAAAUGCGCAGAUAUCAGGAGGAACACCGGUGGCGAAGGCGGGUCUCUGGGCCGAUAUUGACGCUGAGGAGCGAAAGCGUGGGGAGCAAACAGG
Molecule: ribosomal RNA, 253 nt
Filed under: uncultured bacterium
Lineage: Bacteria
Description: partial 16S ribosomal RNA
Rfam family: Bacterial small subunit ribosomal RNA
Source: RNAcentral